CUGCAUCGGUGUUGCCUAAUCAAGUA
Molecule: non-coding RNA, 26 nt
Filed under: Homo sapiens (human)
Lineage: Eukaryota; Metazoa; Chordata; Mammalia; Primates; Hominidae
Source: RNAcentral